RNAcentral lists this ribosomal RNA (301 nucleotides) under uncultured bacterium. RNAcentral's name for it is "partial 16S ribosomal RNA". It matches the Rfam family "Bacterial small subunit ribosomal RNA", at positions 509 to 807 of the family's 1533-position model. The record is from RNAcentral.
CAGUAGCCGCGGUAAUACGAAGGGUGCAAGCGUUAAUCGGAAUUACUGGGCGUAAAGCGUGCGUAGGCGGUUUGUUAAGUCUGUUGUGAAAUCCCCGGGCUCAACCUGGGAAUGGCAAUGGAUACUGGCAAGCUAGAGUGUGUCAGAGGAUGGUGGAAUUCCCGGUGUAGCGGUGAAAUGCGUAGAGAUCGGGAGGAACAUCAGUGGCGAAGGCGGCCAUCUGGGACAACACUGACGCUGAGGCACGAAAGCGUGGGGAGCAAACAGGAUUAGAUACCCCCGUAGUCCCUGUCUCUUAUAC